RNAcentral lists this ribosomal RNA (441 nucleotides) under uncultured bacterium. RNAcentral describes it as "bacterial SSU rRNA". It matches the Rfam family "Bacterial small subunit ribosomal RNA", at positions 340 to 773 of the family's 1533-position model. The record is from RNAcentral.
UACGGAAGGCCAGCAGUGGGGAAUAUUGCACAAUGGGCGCAAGCCUGAUGCAGCCAUGCCGCGUGUAUGAAGAAGGCCUUCGGGUUGUAAAGUACUUUCAGUCGUGAGGAAGGUGUUAAGGUUAAUAACCUUAGCAAUUGACGUUAGCGACAGAAGAAGCACCGGCUAACUCCGUGCCAGCAGCCGCGGUAAUACGGAGGGUGCGAGCGUUAAUCGGAAUUACUGGGCGUAAAGGGCACGCAGGCGGUUAAUUAAGUUGGAUGUGAAAUCCCCGGGCUUAACCUGGGAAUGGCAUUCAAGACUGGUUAGCUAGAGUCUUGUAGAGGGGGUAGAAUUCCAUGUGUAGCGGUGAAAUGCGUAGAGAUGUGGAGGAAUACCGGUGGCGAAGGCGGCCCCUGGGACAAAGACUGACGCUCAUGUGCGAAAGCGUGGGGAGCAAAC